RNAcentral lists this unclassified non-coding RNA (256 nucleotides) under uncultured Flagelloscypha. Its description in RNAcentral is "sequence contains ITS2". The record is from RNAcentral. Lineage: Eukaryota; Fungi; Basidiomycota; Agaricomycetes; Agaricales; Tricholomataceae.
ACCUCUCAACUAUGCCCUUCUUUGUGAGUGUGUAUGGUUGGAUGUGAGGGUUGCAGGCUGCGAAGCCAGCUCCUUUGAAAUGCAUUAGCUGGGAACUAGUACAUGGUGUCAAGUGCUUUGAUGCUUGAAGACCUCCUGGUGAGAUAAUUGUCUACGCCGUUGGUUUAGUCAUUGCGCAUAUUUGGGACUAUGGAAUGGGCCUGCUUCUAACUGUCUCAAUUGCGAGACUAGUCCGCUCUAGGGCUACUAUUGACUA